RNAcentral lists this transfer RNA (65 nucleotides) under Gaetice depressus. RNAcentral describes it as "tRNA-Pro". The record is from RNAcentral. Lineage: Eukaryota; Metazoa; Arthropoda; Malacostraca; Decapoda; Varunidae.
CAGAAAAUAGUUUAAAAAAUAUUAAUUUUGGGAAUUAAAGAUAAAGAAUACCUCUUUUUUUCUGA